GCCCUCGUAGCUCAGUGGAUAGAGCACCGCUCUCCUAAAGCGGGUGCGCAGGUUCGACUCCUGCCGGGGGCG
Molecule: transfer RNA, 72 nt
Filed under: Solirubrobacteraceae bacterium
Lineage: Bacteria; Bacillati; Actinomycetota; Thermoleophilia; Solirubrobacterales; Solirubrobacteraceae
Also listed under: 3 other names
Description: tRNA-Arg
Rfam family: tRNA
About the family: Transfer RNA (tRNA) molecules are approximately 80 nucleotides in length. Their secondary structure includes four short double-helical elements and three loops (D, anti-codon, and T loops).
Source: RNAcentral